UCCUACGGGAGGCAGCAGUGGGGAAUAUUGCACAAUGGGCGCAAGCCUGAUGCAGCAACGCCGCGUGAGGGACGAAGGCCUCCGGGUUGUAAACCUCUUUUAGUAGGGAAGAAGCGACUGGGUUUUCCUGGGAGUGACGGUACCUGCAGAAAAAGCACCGGCUAACUACGUGCCAGCAGCCGCGGUAAUACGUAGGGUGCAAGCGUUGUCCGGAAUUAUUGGGCGUAAAGAGCUCGUAGGCGGUUUGUCGCGUCUGCUGUGAAAACCCGAGGCUCAACCUCGGGCCUGCAGUGGGUACGGGCAGACUAGAGUGCGGUAGGGGAGAUUGGAAUUCCUGGUGUAGCGGUGGAAUGCGCAGAUAUCAGGAGGAACACCAAUGGCGAAGGCAGAUCUCUGGGCCGUAACUGACGCUGAGGAGCGAAAGCAUGGGGAGCGAACAGGAUUAGAUACCCUGGUAGUCCAUGCCGUAAACGUUGGGAACUAGAUGUGGGGACCAUUCCACGGUCUCCGUGUUGCAGCUAACGCAUUAUGUUCCCCGCCUGGGGAGUACGGCCGCAAGGCUAAAACUCAAAGGAAUUGACGGGGGCCCGUACAAGCGGCGGAGCAUGCGGAUUAAUUCGAUGCAACGCGAAGAACCUUACCAAGGCUUGACAUAUACCGGAAACGGCUGGAAGCAGUCGCCCCGCGAGGUCGGUAUACAGGUGGUGCAUGGUUGUCGUCAGCUCGUGUCGUGAGAUGUUGGGUUAAGUCCCGCAACGAGCGCAACCCUUGUCCUAUGUUGCCAGCACGUAAUGGUGGGAACUCAUGGGAUACUGCCGGGGUCAACUCGGAGGAAGGUGGGGAUGACGUCGAAUCAUCAUGCCCCUUAUGUCUUGGGCUUCACGCAUGCUACAAUGGCCGGUACAAAGGGCUGCGAUACCGCAAGGUGGAGCGAAUCCCAGAAAGCCGGUCUCAGUUCGGAUUGAGGUCUGCAACUCGACCUCAUGAAGUCGGAGUCGCUAGUAAUCGCAGAUCAGCAACGCUGCGGUGAAUACGUUCCCGGGCCUUGUACACACCGC
This 1058-nucleotide ribosomal RNA is filed under the name uncultured Cryobacterium sp. RNAcentral's name for it is "bacterial SSU rRNA". It matches the Rfam family "Bacterial small subunit ribosomal RNA", at positions 337 to 1393 of the family's 1533-position model. Lineage: Bacteria; Bacillati; Actinomycetota; Actinomycetes; Micrococcales; Microbacteriaceae. The record is from RNAcentral.